GCCAACCUAGCUCAGCUGGUAGAGUAGCGGUUUCGUAAAUCGUUGGUCGUGGGUUCGAAUCCCAUGGUUGGCU
Molecule: transfer RNA, 73 nt
Filed under: Chitinophaga tropicalis
Lineage: Bacteria; Pseudomonadati; Bacteroidota; Chitinophagia; Chitinophagales; Chitinophagaceae
Rfam family: tRNA
About the family: Transfer RNA (tRNA) molecules are approximately 80 nucleotides in length. Their secondary structure includes four short double-helical elements and three loops (D, anti-codon, and T loops). Further hydrogen bonds mediate the characteristic L-shaped molecular structure. tRNAs have two regions of fundamental functional importance: the anti-codon, which is responsible for specific mRNA codon recognition, and the 3' end, to which the tRNAs corresponding amino acid is attached (by aminoacyl-tRNA synthetases). tRNAs cope with the degeneracy of the genetic code in two manners: having more than one tRNA (with a specific anti-codon) for a particular amino acid; and 'wobble' base-pairing, i.e. permitting non-standard base-pairing at the 3rd anti-codon position.
Source: Rfam by way of RNAcentral